GAAUCCCAUGUUACCAUGUGGCAAUGGAUUUGCCCUAUAUAGAAUGGAAGAAGUCCUGUCAAAGAUGGACUGGUGAAGGAAAAGAAGAAAACAGCUCAAAUGUUAUAGAAACAGAAGUUUUUAAUGU
Empidonax traillii (willow flycatcher) is the source of this 127-nucleotide long non-coding RNA. RefSeq lists it as uncharacterized. The transcript is spliced from 3 exons. NCBI's taxonomy places the organism in Eukaryota, Metazoa, Chordata, Aves, Passeriformes, Tyrannidae. The record is from RefSeq and is a predicted model, not a curated record.